GCUUUUUCUGGGGAAGCUCCAUCUGAGGCUGCCUUUUGCGAAGUCACAAAAGCUAUCACAAUCAUCUGUCAGAUUCUCUUUGGAAAAUGUGGAAAUGGCUAGAAAGAGACCCAAAACUGGAAAUAUCUUCAGGGCUGAGAGACAAUGACUGGCCAAAGGAUCCAGCUGGCUUUGUGUCUAAGGUGGAACUCAAAAGCAUUCUUGGCUAUAACGAUGAUUUUACGGAAUAACAGAGUUGGAAGGGACGUUAUAGGUCAUCUAAUCCAACCUCCCGCCCAACCAGGAGACCCUAUACUAUUUCUGACAGAUAGCAGUCCAGUCUCUUCUUGAAAACUUCCAGUGAUGAAGCUCCCACAACUUCUGAAGGCUCCAUUGGUUGAUUGAUGAUGGUGAUGAUGUUAGAAGAAAGCUUUCCAUUUAAUUAUUUUAUUAAAAUAAUACUUUUUAAAAAUCCAUUCA
Molecule: long non-coding RNA, 459 nt
Organism: Ahaetulla prasina
Lineage: Eukaryota; Metazoa; Chordata; Lepidosauria; Squamata; Colubridae
Exons: 4
Source: RefSeq, a predicted model, not a curated record